UUAAGCGACUAAGCGUACACGGUGGAUGCCCUGGCAGUCAGAGGCGAUGAAGGACGUGCUAAUCUGCGAUAAGCGUCGGUGAGGUGAUAUGAACCGUUAUAACCGGCGAUUUCCGAAUGGGGAAACCCAGUGUGUUUCGACACACUAUCAUUAACUGAAUCCAUAGGUUAAUGAGGCGAACCGGGGGAACUGAAACAUCUAAGUACCCCGAGGAAAAGAAAUCAACCGAGAUUCCCCCAGUAGCGGCGAGCGAACGGGGAGGAGCCCAGAGCCUGAAUCAGUGUGUGUGUUAGUGGAAGCGUCUGGAAAGGCGUGCGAUACAGGGUGACAGCCCCGUACACAAAAAUGCACAUAUUGUGAGCUCGAUGAGUAGGGCGGGACACGUGGUAUCCUGUCUGAAUAUGGGGGGACCAUCCUCCAAGGCUAAAUACUCCUGACUGACCGAUAGUGAACCAGUACCGUGAGGGAAAGGCGAAAAGAACCCCGGCGAGGGGAGUGAAAAAGAACCUGAAACCGUGUACGUACAAGCAGUGGGAGCCUCUUAAUGGGGUGACUGCGUACCUUUUGUAUAAUGGGUCAGCGACUUAUAUUCUGUAGCAAGGUUAACCGAAUAGGGGAGCCGAAGGGAAACCGAGUCUUAACUGGGCGUUAAGUUGCAGGGUAUAGACCCGAAACCCGGUGAUCUAGCCAUGGGCAGGUUGAAGGUUGGGUAACACUAACUGGAGGACCGAACCGACUAAUGUUGAAAAAUUAGCGGAUGACUUGUGGCUGGGGGUGAAAGGCCAAUCAAACCGGGAGAUAGCUGGUUCUCCCCGAAAGCUAUUUAGGUAGCGCCUCGUGAAUUCAUCUCCGGGGGUAGAGCACUGUUUCGGCAAGGGGGUCAUCCCGACUUACCAACCCGAUGCAAACUGCGAAUACCGGAGAAUGUUAUCACGGGAGACACACGGCGGGUGCUAACGUCCGUCGUGAAGAGGGAAACAACCCAGACCGCCAGCUAAGGUCCCAAAGUCAUGGUUAAGUGGGAAACGAUGUGGGAAGGCCCAGACAGCCAGGAUGUUGGCUUAGAAGCAGCCAUCAUUUAAAGAAAGCGUAAUAGCUCACUGGUCGAGUCGGCCUGCGCGGAAGAUGUAACGGGGCUAAACCAUGCACCGAAGCUGCGGCAGCGACACUAUGUGUUGUUGGGUAGGGGAGCGUUCUGUAAGCCUGUGAAGGUGUGCUGUGAGGCAUGCUGGAGGUAUCAGAAGUGCGAAUGCUGACAUAAGUAACGAUAAAGCGGGUGAAAAGCCCGCUCGCCGGAAGACCAAGGGUUCCUGUCCAACGUUAAUCGGGGCAGGGUGAGUCGACUCCUAAGGCGAGGCCGAAAGGCGUAGUCGAUGGGAAACAGGUUAAUAUUCCUGUACUUGGUGUUACUGCGAAGGGGGGACGGAGAAGGCUAUGUUGGCCGGGCGACGGUUGUCCCGGUUUAAGCGUGUAGGCUGGUUUUCCAGGCAAAUCCGGAAAACCAAGGCUGAGGCGUGAUGACGAAGCACUACGGUGCUGAAGUGACAAAUGCCCUGCUUCCAGGAAAAGCCUCUAAGCAUCAGGUAACAUCAAAUCGUACCCCAAACCGACACAGGUGGUCAGGUAGAGAAUACCAAGGCGCUUGAGAGAACUCGGGUGAAGGAACUAGGCAAAAUGGUGCCGUAACUUCGGGAGAAGGCACGCUGAUAUGUAGGUGAAGCGACUUGCUCGUGGAGCUGAAAUCAGUCGAAGAUACCAGCUGGCUGCAACUGUUUAUUAAAAACACAGCACUGUGCAAACACGAAAGUGGACGUAUACGGUGUGACGCCUGCCCGGUGCCGGAAGGUUAAUUGAUGGGGUUAGCGGUAACGCGAAGCUCUUGAUCGAAGCCCCGGUAAACGGCGGCCGUAACUAUAACGGUCCUAAGGUAGCGAAAUUCCUUGUCGGGUAAGUUCCGACCUGCACGAAUGGCGUAAUGAUGGCCAGGCUGUCUCCACCCGAGACUCAGUGAAAUUGAACUCGCUGUGAAGAUGCAGUGUACCCGCGGCAAGACGGAAAGACCCCGUGAACCUUUACUAUAGCUUGACACUGAACAUUGAGCCUUGAUGUGUAGGAUAGGUGGGAGGCUUUGAAGUGUGGACGCCAGUCUGCAUGGAGCCGACCUUGAAAUACCACCCUUUAAUGUUUGAUGUUCUAACGUGGGCCCCUUACCGGGGUUGCGGACAGUGUCUGGUGGGUAGUUUGACUGGGGCGGUCUCCUCCUAAAGAGUAACGGAGGAGCACGAAGGUUGGCUAAUCCUGGUCGGACAUCAGGAGGUUAGUGCAAUGGCAUAAGCCAGCUUGACUGCGAGCGUGACGGCGCGAGCAGGUGCGAAAGCAGGUCAUAGUGAUCCGGUGGUUCUGAAUGGAAGGGCCAUCGCUCAACGGAUAAAAGGUACUCCGGGGAUAACAGGCUGAUACCGCCCAAGAGUUCAUAUCGACGGCGGUGUUUGGCACCUCGAUGUCGGCUCAUCACAUCCUGGGGCUGAAGUAGGUCCCAAGGGUAUGGCUGUUCGCCAUUUAAAGUGGUACGCGAGCUGGGUUUAGAACGUCGUGAGACAGUUCGGUCCCUAUCUGCCGUGGGCGCUGGAGAACUGAGGGGGGCUGCUCCUAGUACGAGAGGACCGGAGUGGACGCAUCACUGGUGUUCGGGUUGUCAUGCCAAUGGCACUGCCCGGUAGCUAAAUGCGGAAGAGAUAAGUGCUGAAAGCAUCUAAGCACGAAACUUGCCCCGAGAUGAGUUCUCCCUGACUCCUUGAGAGUCCUGAAGGAACGUUGAAGACGACGACGUUGAUAGGCCGGGUGUGUAAGCGCAGCGAUGCGUUGAGCUAACCGGUACUAAUGAACCGUGAGGCUUAACCUU
RNAcentral lists this ribosomal RNA (2902 nucleotides) under Escherichia coli UMEA 3160-1. Its description in RNAcentral is "bacterial LSU rRNA". It matches the Rfam family "Bacterial large subunit ribosomal RNA". Lineage: Bacteria; Pseudomonadati; Pseudomonadota; Gammaproteobacteria; Enterobacterales; Enterobacteriaceae. The record is from RNAcentral.